UCUCAUGGAAAUCAGCUAGCAGGUCAGGCUGCUAAACAAACAGCAGAAGGACAAGUAUUACUAAUACUGCCAGGAAAAUACCCAGUACUGGAAAAUAGUCCAGGAUAUCAAAAAGAAGAUGAUCAAUUAGCUGAGUUACUGAAGGCAAAAAAAGAAAGGGUGGUGGAUCACUGUACACAACAGUAAUCUUAACAACCCCUCUCCUAAAGGAAAUGAUAGAUCAGGAACACAAGCGUACCCAUUGGGGUGUGAAAAUAUUAGUGGACAAUCUAAAAUUGUGAGUGUUAAGAAUAGGAAUGGGAAGAAUUCUUUACAGUAUUGUGAAGAAGUUUGAAAUAUGCCAGAGGAAUAAUCCUCAAAUACAACCGCAACCUCUUCCUAGAGAGGUGAAGAAAAGAAAUACAGCAGGACACUAUUGGGAAAUAGAUUUCUUCAGAAUUACCAUGACAAAAUGUGCAUUGGUAUUUAUUGGGUUUGGUAGAUGCUUUUUCAGGAUGGCUGGAAGCUUUUCAUUGUUGAACAAAUCAGGCUAAAGAGGUAAGGUAUUAUUAAAAGGGAUUAUCCCAAGAUAAUGGAAUCCCAAUAGAAAUGUCAUCAGAUAGGGGGCCUUGUUUUGUAGCUAAAAUAAUAAAAAAACUACCUUAACCACUACACAUAAAACGACAUCUCUAUACCCCCUGGAGACCCUUGUCCAAUGGAAAAGUAGAAAGAAUGAAUCGGUCAAUUGAGAGACAUACAAGUAAAAUGUGUCAGGAAACCAAAUGAAAAUGGCCAGACAUAUUGCCUUUGGCCCUAUUAAUAAGAAUAAUCCCCAACAAUAGAGAUAAAGUAAGUACAUUUGAGGUUUUAUAUGAGCGACCUUACCAGAUGAUGAAUAUGAACCAGCUUCUGCCAGUAUGCUGUAACAGGGGUAUUUAAAGGACUAUGUGAUGUCUUUAGGAAAAGUGUUAUUUUCUGUCAACAAGUAUUUGCAAUUACAUGCACCAUUAGCAUUGAAUACAGUAGUUCAUUGUUUCAAACCUGAUUUGGUCUGCCUCCGGAUGUAGAACAAUGAACCUCUAAAGGAACAUUGGAAGGGACCUUUUCAGGCCUUGUUCAACCUGCACCAUGGUGAAACUGCAGGGAGUGGAACUGUGGAUCUGUAAAAAGUAGUAAAAUAGAAUUUUUGCAGUCAGCCACUAAACUAACUGUCAGAGCAAGAUAACAAGAUGGCGGUUAAGGUGGGAACUGGGUUACUGGUUACAGUUCAUAACAAGUUCACCAGUGUGCAGGUUAGCAAAUAAGGGGAAGGGGCUCUUAAAUUAGAAUAGUGGGAGAUGCAGAUGGGUGGGAGUUCACAUGGGAUGUUCAGGUGCCUUGGAUAGGCUGUAAACCUUGGAGUACCCGACCAGUGGGAAACAAGGGAGGGUUGUUGCAGUCAGGGAUAGGGAAUAUAAGGAAGAACUUUGUAGUCACUGGGUGUGCUUUCUUAUUAGGACACCCAUUUUUGCAAAAAUGUUUAAUAAAUCACUUCUUCACUGUUGCCUCUAAUCUGAGUCUUUACAAGAAAAGUUUUGAAGUUUCUAACAGAUCCACUACCCUUGAAAGAAGGCCGCAAAUCCAGAGAAGUGGGAAGUAACUCCAGCAGAACCAUUAAAAGUGGAAUUCAGAAAAAGAACUUGAUAAAAUGUCGGACUUUAAUCACAUGCGAUUGAUGUUACUAGUAAUUCUUGAUAUGUCAAGAUAACGUGAUUUUGAAAUUGCUGCAAUCCUUUGGAAAAAUGCACAAUGCUAGUAGCCUUAUGGCUUGCCAUAACCAGCAGAGCAUCCUGUAGGAUGGAGGGUAUAAACUUUUAUCUCAUCUAUGGAAUUCCCUCCACAAUGGGUCCCAGGUAAUAAAUAUACCUAGGGAUCAAAGAAUAUAUUGUAGUAAUAAUACACAUUGUUGGACAAAAAUCCCACAGUCCUUACAGAAUAGAUUUGCAAUUAACAGCAUUACUGGACAAAUGGAGGUUCUGGUAGAUGCUACUAAAACCAGAUUUUCGGACCUAAAUCAACAGGUGCAAGCCAAUUCAAAGAGGACUUUACAGAAUAGACAAGCUUUAGAUUUAUUGUUAGCCCAAGAACAUGGCCUAUGUGGAAUAUUUACAUUUGGAUCCCGACUGGUGUUUUACACAUGCACCUAAUGUCACUUAACCCUUGCAAAAACAGUGAGAAUUAAACAAGUGGCUAAAGCAAGUAGAGAAAUUAAUGAAAGAAUAGAAACCAGUAUCAGCUCUGCUUCAUAAAUGAGGCUUAUCUCUGCCAAACUGGCCCUCGAGCAUAAUGUAAACUUUGUUAUUAUAGUUAUUAUAUUGAUUGUAAGAAUCUGUAUAGGAAGUGUUUGGAAAGCAAUAGAAAAGAGUAUAUGGGAGUACUAAAAUUGCAUUGAUACUGGAUUAUUUAGUUAAAUUAGGCUGAGUUAACAUGGUAAAAUUUUUUUUAUGUAAAGAAGUAUAAACUGGAAUAUACAAGACACUCCAAUAUUUAAACUGGAAAUCUUUAAACACCACACCCUAUUGUUGUUUUACAAUGAUACAAAACAUGGAACUGAGACUUUGAAAGGGGAAAAUAAUGCUUGCAACAUCUUGCAAAACAAUGCUAAACCCCAAAGGACUGAGCAAAACCUGUAAAUGUUUGCAGCAUCUUGUGAGAGGAUGCUUGCUGCAAUCGUAGUUCUGCUACAUAACUGUGAUAAUGUACAAAGACUUCUCUAAACAAAGAACAUCCAUCUUGCUUCUCCGGGAAAUGAGUCAGGACUGAUAAGGAGGAACAUCUGUCUCCAACCCUCGGACAACAGCCUAGAAGAAAAUGAGCAAUAAUUAGGUGGGGGAGUGGGGGCAGCCUGACCACCAACUCAAGAAACCCAUUGACUCAAUAGAAAGGCAGAGCCUGCGUCCCUGAUCAGCAUAAGAAGUGAGAGGGACCUUUAAUAUUCCGCCACCAGUAUGGGGUAGAAUACUAAUUAAUGAACAAAUUGUAUAACUCUCAACCAAUGAACACAGAUUUCUUUUUUUGUCAAAAUGUAUAAAUAGUGUAAAGUUACAAUCAUGAUUGAUUUGUGCUUGGUUUGUGGAGACUUCCACAUAGGUCUCUGCCCAGAAUAAAUGUCUCCUUUCCUAA
Neopsephotus bourkii (Bourke's parrot) is the source of this 3141-nucleotide long non-coding RNA. RefSeq lists it as uncharacterized. The record is from RefSeq and is a predicted model, not a curated record. The transcript is spliced from 2 exons. NCBI's taxonomy places the organism in Eukaryota, Metazoa, Chordata, Aves, Psittaciformes, Psittacidae.